This 529-nucleotide ribosomal RNA is filed under the name uncultured organism. Its description in RNAcentral is "bacterial SSU rRNA". It matches the Rfam family "Bacterial small subunit ribosomal RNA", at positions 79 to 595 of the family's 1533-position model. The record is from RNAcentral.
CUUGCACUUCUUGAGAGUGGCGAACGGGUGAGUAACACGUAGGUGAUCUACCGCAGGGGUUGGGGAUAGCGGAUGGAGACAUGGGGUAAUACCGAAUACGCUCAUUUGGCUGUGGCCGGAUGAGGAAAGGCGCUUCGGCGUCGCCCUGCGAUGAGCCUGCGCCCCAUUAGCUAGUUGGUAGGGUAAAGGCCUACCAAGGCGACGAUGGGUAGCCGGCCUGAGAGGGUGAUCGGCCACACUGGGACUGAGAUACGGCCCAGACUCCGACGGGAGGCAGCAGCUAAGAAUCUUCCGCAAUGGACGAAAGUCUGACGGAUUGACGCCGCGUGGGUGAAGAAGGCCGGAAGGUUGUAAAGCCCUUUUCUCGUUGAGGAAUAAGCACAGGAGGGAAUGCCUGUGCGAUGACGGUAGGCGAGGAAUAAGUCCCGGCCAAUUACGUGCCAGCAGCCGCGGUAACACGUAUGGGACGAGCGUUGUUCGGAAUCCUUGGGCGUAAAGGGCGCGUAGGCGGCGAAGGUAAGCCUGGUGU